UGGGGAAUUUUGGACAAUGGGCGAAAGCCUGAUCCAGCAAUGCCGCGUGUGUGAAGAAGGCCUUCGGGUUGUAAAGCACUUUUGUCCGGAAAGAAAUCCUUGGCUCUAAUACAGUCGGGGGAUGACGGUACCGGAAGAAUAAGCACCGGCUAACUACGUGCCAGCAGCCGCGGUAAUACGUAGGGUGCAAGCGUUAAUCGGAAUUACUGGGCGUAAAGCGUGCGCAGGCGGUUUGCUAAGACCGAUGUGAAAUCCCCGGGCUCAACCUGGGAACUGCAUUGGUGACUGGCAGGCUAGAGUAUGGCAGAGGGGGGUAGAAUUCCACGUGUAGCAGUGAAAUGCGUAGAGAUGUGGAGGAAUACCGAUGGCGAAGGCAGCCCCCUGGGCCAAUACUGACGCUCAUGUACGAAAGCGUGGGAGCAAACAGGAUUAGAUACCCUGGUAGUCCACGCCCUAAACCGAUGUCAACUAGUUGUUGGGGAUUCAUUUCCUUAGUAACGUAGCUAACGCGUGAAGUUGACCGCCUGGGGAGUACGGUCGCAAGAUUAAAACUCAAAUGAAUUGACGGGGUCAUAGCUG
RNAcentral lists this ribosomal RNA (579 nucleotides) under uncultured bacterium. RNAcentral describes it as "partial 16S ribosomal RNA". It matches the Rfam family "Bacterial small subunit ribosomal RNA", at positions 355 to 932 of the family's 1533-position model. The record is from RNAcentral.